AAUGUUACCAAAUGAUUUAUUAUGAUUUGUGCUAAAUUACAAUGCAUAUGAAAUGGAGUCAUUUAUGGAAACACAUAAAAAUAGUUACCUAUUCUGUAAUUAUAUUCACACAAGAAUCUGAAAUAUAGUUUCUGUUCUUCCUUUUAAAAUAUAUCCACAGAAUGACUUUUGUAGUUUUCACCAUACAAUUUUACAAUACUGAUACUGCACCUGUAUCAUUUACCAUACUAUAAGAACUAAACAGAAUAUGAAAGCAGUUAAUAGCAAAUUAAUUUUUUAUAUCCAUCAAUGAAUCCAAAGAAAAGAGUAGUUUGUUUCCAUUGGCAGUGAGAAUAGAUGGUAGUAAUUCGCAGUGUAGAUAUUGCAUACAUAGAUAUGUAUGUAUAUAUUUAUAUGUUGCUCAGGGCUGUUCCAUCUAUAGGCGGUUGCCUUCUGAGUGAACCAAUGAUUGCCAAAAUGAUGUGCAAUUCCAUUGGGACAAUUAGUAGUAGCAUUUUCUAUCAUGUUUUUCUCGCAAAAACAAAUAGGUAAGAAAGAAAUACAGCAGGCGAAGAUCUACAGUGUUACAUCCCAAGGUAAAAACAGUUAGAGUUAUUAGAGUCACAGUAGUUUAUGUAUAUUUGCUAUUCACAGACUGCAGACUUUUUGCUGAAUAACUGAGCUGCUGAGAACUGACGACAUGUAGACAUGCAUUCAUGUGAGUCCAUAAUUAAUGAUGUUUAUACUGUAAUAAGCACAUUCAUUUUAACACCAGUCAGUAAACAAAUUCCUUUAAAGUUUGAGCUAAAUCUGCUAUCACAAUUACGCACAAAAAUAACCUGUAAACAAUAUGACGUUACAUUUAUGUACAAGCGAACUGCAUUGGAAAGGAGAAGAGGUAAUUUCAUUGGGUGUCACUUGUUAUUCAUCAAUGUGCAACAAACUGACCCAAGUCAUCAAGUGCUUGAAUGACGUCAGGAAAAAGUAACAUGAGCAAGGCCCCAAUAAGUCACCACUCAGCAUUAGUACCAGCAAAAUUCAGAAUCCUCUAUUUGUGGUGACAUCACAUUCACAGCAUCAGAAACAGAUGUCACAAGGAGCUUGAUAAUCCCUGGUCAGAUGCACUUGAAAUUUCCAGGUAACCUGAUCAACAGGGUCUUUAACUUUAAAAGUGUAAGGGGUGGUGCUGAU
This 1170-nucleotide long non-coding RNA is filed under the name Homo sapiens (human). Its description in RNAcentral is "non-protein coding lnc-YIPF5-1:1". The record is from RNAcentral. Lineage: Eukaryota; Metazoa; Chordata; Mammalia; Primates; Hominidae.